AUUGAACGCUGGCGGCAUGCCUUACACAUGCAAGUCGAACGGCAGCGGGGGUAGCUUGCUACCUGCCGGCGAGUGGCGAACGGGUGAGUAAUACAUCGGAACGUGCCCUGUAGUGGGGGAUAACUAGUCGAAAGACUAGCUAAUACCGCAUACGACCUGAGGGUGAAAGUGGGGGACCGCAAGGCCUCAUGCUAUAGGAGCGGCCGAUGUCUGAUUAGCUAGUUGGUGGGGUAAAGGCCCACCAAGGCGACGAUCAGUAGCUGGUCUGAGAGGACGAUCAGCCACCCUGGGACUGAGACACGGCCCAGACUCCUACGGGAGGCAGCAGUGGGGAAUUUUGGACAAUGGGAGCAACCCUGAUCCAGCAAUGCCGCGUGUGUGAAGAAGGCCUUCGGGUUGUAAAGCACUUUUGUCCGGAAAGAAAUCGCACUGGUUAAUACCUGGUGUGGAUGACGGUACCGGAAGAAUAAGGACCGGCUAACUACGUGCCAGCCGCCGCAGUAA
This 504-nucleotide ribosomal RNA is filed under the name uncultured bacterium. RNAcentral's name for it is "partial 16S ribosomal RNA". It matches the Rfam family "Bacterial small subunit ribosomal RNA", at positions 30 to 523 of the family's 1533-position model. The record is from RNAcentral.